GAGGGCGCCUGAGAAACGGCUACCACAUCCAAGGAAGGCAGCAGGCGCGCAAAUUACCCACUCCUGACACGGGGAGGUAGUGACGAAAAAUAACAAUACGGGACUCUUUCGAGGCCCCGUAAUUGGAAUGAGUACACUUUAAAUCCUUUAACGAGGAUCUAUUGGAGGGCAAGUCUGGUGCCAGCAGCCGCGGUAAUUCCAGCUCCAAUAGCGUAUAUUAAAGUUGUUGCAGUUAAAAAGCUCGUAGUUGGAUCUCGGGUCCAGGCUUGUGGUGCAGCUUAGGCUGCUUACUGCUCGUCCUGACCUACCUACCGGUUUUCCCUUGGUGCUCUUAAGUGAGUGUCUUGGGUGGCCGGAACGUUUACUUUGAAAAAAUUAGAGUGCUCAAAGCAGGCUUUCGCCUGAAUAUUAGUGCAUGGAAUAAUUGAAUAGGACCUCGGUUCUAUUUUGUUGGUUUUCGGAACUCGAGGUAAUGAUUAAGAGGGACAGACGGGGGCAUUCGUAUUACGGUGUUAGAGGUGAAAUUCUUGGAUCGCCGUAAGACGAACUACUGCGAAAGCAUUUGCCAAGAAUGUUUUCAUUAGUCAAGAACGAAAGUCAGAGGUUCGAAGACGAUCAGAUACCGUCGUAGUUCUGACCAUAAACGAUGCCAACUAGCGAUCCGCCGGAGUUGUUUCAAUGACUCGGCGGGCAGCUUCCGGGAAACCAAAGUCUUUGGGUUCCGGGGGAAGUAUGGUUGCAAAGCUGAACUUAAAGGAAUUGACGGAAGGGCACCACCAGGAGUGGAGCCUGCGCUUAAU
Molecule: ribosomal RNA, 800 nt
Filed under: uncultured eukaryote
Lineage: Eukaryota
Description: SSU rRNA
Rfam family: Eukaryotic small subunit ribosomal RNA
Source: RNAcentral